GACGAACGCUGGCGGCGUGCUUAACACAUGCAAGUCGAACGGAAAGGCCCUGCUUUUGUGGGGUGCUCGAUUGGCGAACGGGUGAGUAACACGUGUGUAACCUGCCCUUGACUUUGGGAUAACUUCAGGAAACUGGGGCUAAUACCGGAUAGGAGCUCCUGCUGCAUGGUGGGGGUUGGAAAGUUUCGGCGGUUGGGGAUGGUCUCGCGGCUUAUCCGCUUGUUGGUGGGGUAGUGGCUUACCAAGGGUUUGACGGGUAGCCGGCCUGAGAGGGUGAACGGGCACAAGGGGACUGAGAGAGGGCGCAGACGGCAACGGGAGGCAGCAGGGGGAAAUAUGGCAGAAUAGGGGGAAGCCUGAGGAAGAAACGCCGCGAGCGGGAAGACGGGCUUCGGGUGAAAAACAGCUGUCGCCUGAGACGAAGAGUGAGUGACGGUAAUGGGUAAAGAAGCACCGGCUAACUACGUG
This 468-nucleotide ribosomal RNA is filed under the name uncultured bacterium. RNAcentral's name for it is "partial 16S ribosomal RNA". It matches the Rfam family "Bacterial small subunit ribosomal RNA", at positions 28 to 507 of the family's 1533-position model. The record is from RNAcentral.